GCCAGGCAUGGUGGUGCAUGCCUAUGGUCCCAGCUACUUGGGAGGCUGAGGCAGGAGGAUUGCUUGAGCCCAGGAGAUUGAGGCUGCAGUAAGCCAAGAUCAUACCACUGCACUCCAGCCUGGGCAACAUAGCAAGAUGCUGUCUCAA
This 148-nucleotide small RNA is filed under the name Pongo abelii (Sumatran orangutan). RNAcentral's name for it is "Metazoan signal recognition particle RNA (ENSPPYG00000040210.1)". The record is from Rfam by way of RNAcentral. Lineage: Eukaryota; Metazoa; Chordata; Mammalia; Primates; Hominidae.